Molecule: signal recognition particle RNA, 267 nt
Filed under: Candidatus Pseudogracilibacillus intestinigallinarum
Lineage: Bacteria; Bacillati; Bacillota; Bacilli; Caryophanales; Bacillaceae
Also listed under: 1 other name
Description: signal recognition particle sRNA large type
Rfam family: Bacterial large signal recognition particle RNA
About the family: The signal recognition particle (SRP) is a universally conserved ribonucleoprotein involved in the co-translational targeting of proteins to membranes. Archaeal SRP consists of a 7S RNA and homologues of the eukaryotic SRP19 and SRP54 proteins. In most bacteria, the SRP consists of a 4.5S RNA and the Ffh protein (a homologue of the eukaryotic SRP54 protein).
Source: RNAcentral
CCGUGCUAGGUGGGGAGGUAGCGGUGCCCUAUCACUUGCAAUCCGCUAUAGCAAGACUGAAUCCCCUUCUUAGGUAUGGCGACUUUAUGGUCUGUCUUAAGGAAUUAGUGUUGACGUAUAGAUCUCACGCAACAGGAACCCAUGAACCCUGUCAGGUCCGGAAGGAAGCAGCAGUAAGUGGUCAUUCUUGUGUGCCGUGGGGCAACCUAGACCGAGCUAUGCACUUAAGCAACGCAUAGGGACGUCAUAUCGAUGUUGGGUGCACGG